ACGCGAGCUGGGUUCAGAACGUCGUGAGACAGUUCGGUCCCUAUCCGUCGCAGGCGUAGGAAAUUUGAGAAGACCUGUCCUUAGUACGGGAGGACCGGGAUGGACGUACCUCUGGUGUACCAGUUGUUCUGCCAAGGGCAUGGCUGGGUAGCUAUGUACGGAAUGGAUAAGCGCUGAAAGCAUCUAAGCGCGAAGCCAACUUCAAGAUAAGAUUUC
This 216-nucleotide ribosomal RNA is filed under the name Clostridioides difficile. Its description in RNAcentral is "partial 23S ribosomal RNA". It matches the Rfam family "Bacterial large subunit ribosomal RNA", at positions 2598 to 2813 of the family's 2925-position model. Lineage: Bacteria; Bacillati; Bacillota; Clostridia; Peptostreptococcales; Peptostreptococcaceae. The record is from RNAcentral.